AUGUCUGGUGGACACCUUCUUGUUAAGUCCUUAAACCUCUCCCAUGCCUCAUAGAAAGUUUCACCAUCUUGUUGCCUGAAGGUUUAUACCUCAGCUCUCAACCU
This is a small nucleolar RNA of Arachis stenosperma, 104 nucleotides long. NCBI's taxonomy places the organism in Eukaryota, Viridiplantae, Streptophyta, Magnoliopsida, Fabales, Fabaceae. The record is from RefSeq and is a predicted model, not a curated record.